UUUUUUUUUUUUUUUUUUUUUUUUUGCUGAAUCCAAAGAUAUAUAAAUAAAAAUGUAUUUUAUGAAGAUCCAAAUGAUAUUAAGGCAACAUGUUUCUUCAAAAAUAAAUGAAGCUGUACUGUUGCUGUUGGUAUCAGAACGCUUUCUCUCUAAACUGUGCCCCUGUCAUUAACAGGCCUACCCGGUUCAUCAGCAUUAGAUGCUGAGGUGGGUCGGGGCCAGAGGCAGUGGGUACUAGGGCACAUAAUUGGCUUGAUUCAGGGGUAGGUGCAGCUGGACUGUGCAGAGAGUUUCCAGUUUACAACACGCCAGUCCAGUCCCUUUCUAUCUGCAGUAGAGUGUUACCAGGAGCAGACCUCUAGGUGAGCUCGAAUCUGGCCCUGCCAUGAAGCAACAGGUGUGUUUACCUCCAGUGCAGGCGAUUAAAAACAGGGCGGUGUUUUGUUUUUCUCUUGCCUCCUCCCUUUUUCUCUUCUUUUGAAAAUAAGGAGUUCUGAAGAAGACGGAAAUGUCACUCCAAGAGCAGUAAAUUCUCAGGAACUGACCGACACCACUGAGAACACAUUUGGGGUUAAUCACAUUUAUAUAAGUGUCACUUAAGAUGGUGUCAUUCUUUACACCGCAAGGAAUGGAAACCAUUCGGUGACUCAGUUGGGUGAGCUUUGGAUGCCUUGCCGACUGUCUGGAUGCUCUUGUAAAUAAAGGUUUCUAUUU
RNAcentral lists this long non-coding RNA (714 nucleotides) under Mus musculus (house mouse). RNAcentral's name for it is "long non-coding RNA chr2:166072521-166073235". Lineage: Eukaryota; Metazoa; Chordata; Mammalia; Rodentia; Muridae. The record is from RNAcentral.